RNAcentral lists this transfer RNA (85 nucleotides) under Acidobacteriaceae bacterium. RNAcentral's name for it is "tRNA-Leu". It matches the Rfam family "tRNA". Rfam says of the family: Transfer RNA (tRNA) molecules are approximately 80 nucleotides in length. Their secondary structure includes four short double-helical elements and three loops (D, anti-codon, and T loops). Lineage: Bacteria; Pseudomonadati; Acidobacteriota; Terriglobia; Terriglobales; Acidobacteriaceae. The record is from RNAcentral.
GCGGAGGUGGCGAAAUUGGCAGACGCACUAGCUUGAGGUGCUAGCGGGUAAAACCGUAGGGGUUCAAGUCCCCUCCUCCGCACCA